AUGACCCAUAUGACAGGGCCCUUGCUCCAUCUGCCCAUGAAUGACACACCAUCCACAUCCUCAUUCCUUUCAGCUCCAGACCACGCAACAGCAAAACUGAAGAUCAGGGUGGGAUAUCAAGGAAGAAUUUGUAUAAAGAAAAAACUGAAUUCUUUCUUUUUCUUUCUUUCUUUUUUUGGGGGGCCUUUUUUUGUCUUUUUAGGGCUGCAUCCAGGCUAGGGGUGCAAUCAGAGCUACACUUGCUGGCCUACACCACAGCCACAGCAACUCGGGAUCCGAGCCAUGUCUGCAACCUACACUACAGCUCACAGCAACACCAGAUCCUUAACCCACUGAGCAAGGCCAGGGAUUGAACCUGUGUCCUCAUGGAUGCUAAUCAGAUUCGUUUCCACUGAGCCUUGAUGGAAACUUGGAGAAAACUGAUUUCUUAGCAGAGUCAGGUAGAUUACAUAGCACCAGAUUUAAUUAAAUCAGAUGCUCAGAUUUUAUGAACUUGUUAGGGACCUUCAUAUGAAGAAAACAUCACUGAGCACAGAAGAGAAGAUGUUCUAACUCUAUCAAAAAAAUUGGAUUAUAUAAUGUCACAAUGCAUAGAAAGAUGCAAUUAGGCAACAAAUACAAAUUCCUUUAAUGUUGUUACAUGGAGCUGCUGCAUGGGGACAGCACUGAGCAAUAGACUCAGCAGCACUGGCGGGGAGGGUUGUAGCUGCUCUGACCUUUGAAAGCUUGCUGGCAAUGACAGCAGUAAUCAGAGUGAGGAGUCCAAGGGUCCGUUGCAUAGCUCCCUUUGCCACAUACAUGAGUUUUUUUAAUUAACUUUUUUAUUCAAGUAUUGUUAAUUUACAAUGUUGUGUUAAUUUCUGUUGUACAUCAAAGUGAUUCAGUUAUGCACACACACAUGUAAAUAUACCCUUUUAAAAAUAUUCUUUUCCAUUUUCCUUAAUCAUAGGACACUGAAUAUAGUUCUCUGUGCUAUACAGUAGGACUUUGUUUUUAUCCUCUCCAUGUAUUAGGGCUUAUCUCUGCUAAGCCCAACUUCCUAGUCUAUCCCUCCCCCAAUCCCAUCCCCCUGGGCAACCACAAAUCUCUUCUGUAUAUCUGUUUCUGUUUCAUAGAUAGGCUCAUUUGUGUCCUAGCUUGGAUUCCACAUAUAAGCAAGUGAUAUCAUCUGGUAUUUGUCUUUCUCUUUCUGACUUAUUUCACUUAGUAAGAUAAUCUCUAGUUGCAUCCGUAUUGCUGCAAGUGGCAUUAUUUCAUUCUUUAUGGCUGAGUAGUAUUCCACUGAAUAUAGGUACCACAUCUUAAUCCAUUUGUCUGUCAAUGAACAUUUAUGUGUUUCCAUCUCUUGGCUAUCGUGAAUAGUGCUGAAGUGAACAUAGGAGUGCAUGAAUCUUUUUGAAUUAUAGUUUUGUCUGGAUUUAUGCCCAGGAAUGGGAUUGCUGGAUAUGGUAACUUUAGUUUUCUUUUUUUUUUUUUGUCUUUUUUUUAGGGCUACGCUCAUGGCAUAUGGAGGUUCCCUGGCUAGGGAUCAAAUUGGAGCUGUAGCCACUGGUCUGCUCCACAGCACAGCAACAACAUAUCUAAGCCAUGUCUGUGACCUACACCACAGCUCAUGGUAACGCUGGAUCCUUAACCACUGAGCAAGGCCAGGGAUCAAACCUGAGUCAUCAUUGAUACCUGUCAGAUUAGUUCCCACUGAACUCCUAUCCUUAGUUUUCUGAGGAAGCUUCAAACUGUUUUCCAUAGUGGCUGUACCAACUUACAUUCCCACCAACAGUGUAGGAAGUUUCCCUUUUCUCCAUAUCCUCUCUAGAAUUUGUUAUUUGUGGACUUUUUAAUGAUGGCCAUCCUGACCAGUGUGAAGUGGUGCUUCAUUGUAGUUUUGAUUUGCAUUUCCCUAGUAAUUAGUGAUAUUAAGUGUAUUUUCAUGUGCUUACUGGCCAUCCAUGUGUCUUCUAUGCCAGAUAUGUCAAUUUAGGUCUUCUGCCCAUUUUUUAAUUGGGUUUUUGGGGUUUUUUUGUUGUUGAAUUGUAUGAGCUGUUUGUAUAUUUUGGAAAUUAGGCUCUUGUAGGUUACAUCACUUGCAAAUAUUUUCUCCCAUUCUGCAGAUUGUCUUUUAAUUUUUUUAUGGUUUCCUUUUCUGUGCAAAAGCUUAUAAAUUUGAUUAGGUCUCAUUUGUUUAUUUUUAUUUCUAUUGCCUUGGGAGACUGACCUAAGAAAACAUUGGUAUGAUUUAUGUCAGAGAAUAUUUUGCCUAUGAUCUCUUCCAGGAGUUUUUAUAGUGUCAUUUCUUAUGUUUAAGUAUUUAAGCCAUUUAUGAUAGAAUUUUUUUUUUUUUCUUUUUUGGUCGCCCUGUGACAUAUGGAGUUCCUGGGCCAGAAAGCAGAUGCAAGGUGCAGUUGUGACCUUUGCUGCAGCUGUAGCAAUGCCAGAUCCUUAACCCACUGUGCCGGACCAGGGAUCAAACCUGUGUCCUGGUACUCCAGAGAUGCCAGGCCAGGGAUCAAACCUGUGUCCUAGUACUCCAGCAAUGCUGCCAAUCCUGUUGUGCAACAAUAGGAACUCAUACUUAUACAUUUUUAAUACCUUUUCACAACAAUCCUGGAGAUUGUGGCCACUGUCUUGCAUACCUGUCAGAUGCAAAUGACUAGUAAUAGCUAAGGACAUUCUUAAAACUCCAGUAAAUUGAAGGUGAAUUCCCUGGUUCACCUCUCAUGUGUUCAUGCAUCUACAGACCCACGCACUAACCUAUUUCUGUAAACAUUAGGGGAUAGCUUUGAAGGUAUGAAUUCCUCAUACAGAAGUUAAUAGCAAGGACCAGUCAUACCAUUUAGUCCUGUAAAAACAUUUCAAAAGAAGAUAAAUUCCAAUGGACCCACGAUGAUUAAGGAGAGAUAAAUAGAAAACUGUCUUUCACUUUUAGUGGAAAAAAAGAAAUACGAGUGGAUUUCAUUCAGUGAGAUAAUCUUUGAGAUAAGUGUUUGGCCAUUAUCAUAAAUUGGAAAAAAAAGGUCGAUGUCAGUGAAUUUUUAUUUUUUAGAUUCUUAAUUUAGUGUUGUAAAAAUGUGUAAGUUAUUUAAGCUAAAUGUUAGAAAAACAAAAUGGUCUCUCAAGAUACUGAUUGGCCCCACAAUGACAUAACAACUCAAAUAUAUUAAUUGAGUUUAUAUGCUUAUGCAGGUCAACAUGAGGAAUGUGUGACACUUUCACCAUGUCAUCUAAAAUUUAAAUUAGUUCAUUAAAUCCUUUUAGUUGAGUGUGAAAACAUUGAAUAUAUUUUAAGCGAAAAAGGAAAACUUGACAAAUGAUAAUAUCUGUCAAAAUUUCUGAAAGAUUUUGAAUUAUUUUAUUCUGCAUGUAGGAUAUUGAAGUCAUUUAAUUCCUUUAAAUUUACUAAAAAAAAAUCCCCUGAUAUUAUAUUUUCAAGUAUUUAAUUUGACACAUAAAUUCCCUAUAUGUGCACACCUUUUAGAAAAUAAGCAAUUGAAUUCUGACAAAAUUACCAUUUUAAAAAUAAUAAGUAUUAGUAGCUGGUAAGCAUUAUAGGCAUAAAAUGUGGAAAGUGCUGGAACCUGGGAGGAAUAGAACUCAGCCUCAUUGAGAAGGCAUGUCCUUCUGACACCAACUAUGUAUCUCCUAAAAUAUAUUCGAAACUUGUAAAUGCAUUAAUCCAUCUUAAUGAAGUGAAUAGAAAUUAAGAAAAUAAUUAUAAGCACAGAUGCUUGGAACAAGUCUUUGAACUUACAAGCCAGCCAUACUGAACUACUUGCCCCCAAAUAUGGUAAUAGUGAAAUACCCAGUGGUUCAUUAUAAGAUCAAAUGUGAUAUAUUCAUUAGAUAUCAUUUUUUCCAUGAAAUUUUUAAUAACAUGAGAGUAUCUCCUUAACAUAAUAUUAAGUGGGAAAAGCAAGACACAACAUUUUUAAAAACUGAUGUGACUUCAGGAAGCACAACGAGUACCAUAUAAAAUAAACCCAAGGAGGAAUACA
Molecule: long non-coding RNA, 3989 nt
Filed under: Sus scrofa (pig)
Lineage: Eukaryota; Metazoa; Chordata; Mammalia; Artiodactyla; Suidae
Description: lncRNA (ENSSSCG00070005122.1)
Source: RNAcentral